RNAcentral lists this transfer RNA (72 nucleotides) under Pyxidicoccus parkwayensis. RNAcentral describes it as "Pyxidicoccus sp. SCPEA002 tRNA-Ala". It matches the Rfam family "tRNA". Rfam says of the family: Transfer RNA (tRNA) molecules are approximately 80 nucleotides in length. Their secondary structure includes four short double-helical elements and three loops (D, anti-codon, and T loops). Further hydrogen bonds mediate the characteristic L-shaped molecular structure. tRNAs have two regions of fundamental functional importance: the anti-codon, which is responsible for specific mRNA codon recognition, and the 3' end, to which the tRNAs corresponding amino acid is attached (by aminoacyl-tRNA synthetases). tRNAs cope with the degeneracy of the genetic code in two manners: having more than one tRNA (with a specific anti-codon) for a particular amino acid; and 'wobble' base-pairing, i.e. permitting non-standard base-pairing at the 3rd anti-codon position. The record is from RNAcentral. Lineage: Bacteria; Pseudomonadati; Myxococcota; Myxococcia; Myxococcales; Myxococcaceae.
GGGGUCGUAGCUCAGCGGUAGAGCGCUCGGUUCGCAUCCGAGAGGACCCGGGUUCGAAUCCCGGUGGCUCCA